RNAcentral lists this long non-coding RNA (597 nucleotides) under Homo sapiens (human). RNAcentral describes it as "non-protein coding lnc-RBM23-1:1". The record is from RNAcentral. Lineage: Eukaryota; Metazoa; Chordata; Mammalia; Primates; Hominidae.
UUUUUAAUCCUUGGGGAAGUAGUUCUCUCUUGUGUGUCUUCCCCAACACUCUCUCUCUCUUUCUGUCUCUGACAGGCCCAGUUUGAGAUGCCUUAUGUGGUACGGCUGCACAACUUCCACCAGCUCUCUGCACCCCAGCCCUGUUUCACCUUCAGCCAUCCCAACAGAGAUCCUAUGAUUGACAACAACCGCUAUUGCACCUUGGAAUUUCCUGUGGAGGUGAACACAGUACUACAUGGCUUUGCCGGCUACUUUGAGACUGUGCUUUAUCAGGACAUCACUCUGAGUGAGUGUCUAUGGCAGUAGAUGGCAGAGUAUGAGGGUGUGCUUCCUGGGCAGCUUAUAUGUACAUGUGUCAUUUAGAUUUAUGGGGGGCCCAGUGCUCAAUGAAUGGAGAUCUUUGUGUGAUUAGAGAAGAGACCCUCUUCAGCAUAGGCAAAAGUCACAGCCAUGGAGACCUCUGUUUUUUCAUUAUUUUGUCCACACAGGUAUCCGUCCAGAGACUCACUCUCCUGGGAUGUUCUCAUGGUUUCCCAUCCUCUUCCCUAUUAAGGUAGGAACUGCUUUUAAGACUCUCUAGUUAAGCAGUAACCUUUG